GCCCUUCAGGGCAUACUGCAAAAAGAAAAUAUACAGAGAAGAUUAGUAUGGCCCCUGCACUAAGGAUGAGAUGACUCAAUCAAAGAGAAGAACCUAUUUUCU
RNAcentral lists this small nuclear RNA (102 nucleotides) under Penicillium expansum. The record is from RNAcentral. Lineage: Eukaryota; Fungi; Ascomycota; Eurotiomycetes; Eurotiales; Aspergillaceae.